This is a long non-coding RNA of Nerophis lumbriciformis (worm pipefish), 509 nucleotides long. RefSeq lists it as uncharacterized. NCBI's taxonomy places the organism in Eukaryota, Metazoa, Chordata, Actinopteri, Syngnathiformes, Syngnathidae. The record is from RefSeq and is a predicted model, not a curated record.
UUGCAGGCAUCAAAUUCCAAAUGAUUUGCAAAAAAUAACAACGUUUUCCAGUUCGAAUGUUAAGUAUCUUGUCUUUGCAGUCUAUUCAAUUGAAUAUAGGUUGAAAAGGAUUUGCAAAUCAUUGUAUUCUGUUUUUAUUUACGAUUAACACAACGUGCCAACUUCUCUGCUCUGUCAUUGAACCAUUUCAGCUCAUGAGUUGAGGUACUACUAGAAGGACAAGUGGUAGAAAAUGGAUGGAUGUAUUGCUGUGACCUUUGGACCUUUUUCCAAUUACGGAUCAAGGCGUCCACAACUGCUGCCUGAUUGACAACCAGGACACACCUGCACCCGGUUGCCAAACAGUCCAGCAUCCUUUGAACUUCCUUAAAAAUGCCUCUUGCUUUAAACCAAAGAAAUUCUGUGUCUUGUGCCCUAAUUAGGUGCCCUUUUGUGUGAGUUCUUUUUUUCAUGUUGUGUUUCCCACUAUGUUUUCUUUUGUUGUAUUAAAGAAGAUUUUUUUCACUCAC